CCUCAGAGUGACUAGCUACUGAAUCUUUGAUGUGUCAUCAAAGAUAAUGUAAAGGAAAAUAAUGAUAUUACUUUACUAUUAGUGUCGUCCAAAUACUCGUGCCAGAAGACUCGGUAAGGCGAGAGACGCAAACGUUAUUCGUCUUGAUCAGGCGUAAAGGGUGUGUAGGCUGCUUUAAAAAUUUAUAUUAAGUUUACUAAUUUAAGCUAAAGUUAACUUAGCUUAUGGCUCACAUUUAUAGUUUAAGUUAGAUUAUAUUUGCAUAAGUAAUUUAUAAUAGUUAAGAAAUACUUACAUUAUCAAUAUAAAUCAAUUAAAGCUAGAAUCUAAAGGAGGUUAAAACAAUACUUAAGGUAGGAGUACUAACCGUAAAUAUUAAGUAGAGUUCUAAUGGCGAAGGCAUUUAUCCAAUAAAGAUUGACGCUGAGAAACGAAAGUGAGGGCAGAAAAAAGGAUUAGAGACCCUUGUAUUCCUCACUGUCAACGAUGAAUGGUAGUUACUAGUUAGAAAUUAGCUAGGGACGAUGUUAACACGAAAACCAUUCCGCCUUGUGAGUACAACUGCAAAGUUGAAAACAAAAAAAUUAGUCGGUUUCGGAGCAAACGAAGUGAAGCAUGUUAUUUAAC
RNAcentral lists this ribosomal RNA (627 nucleotides) under Hymenochaete cinnamomea. RNAcentral describes it as "partial small subunit ribosomal RNA". It matches the Rfam family "Bacterial small subunit ribosomal RNA", at positions 382 to 950 of the family's 1533-position model. The record is from RNAcentral. Lineage: Eukaryota; Fungi; Basidiomycota; Agaricomycetes; Hymenochaetales; Hymenochaetaceae.